This 7747-nucleotide long non-coding RNA is filed under the name Gossypium barbadense (sea-island cotton). RNAcentral's name for it is "long non-coding RNA (GBAR_LNC014447)". The record is from RNAcentral. Lineage: Eukaryota; Viridiplantae; Streptophyta; Magnoliopsida; Malvales; Malvaceae.
GUGGACACGCGAAGCCAGCGAUUGGCGAGUAGCGGCGGUGGGCGUGCGCAGGAGGUGGCAGCAACAACAUGCGGCUGGGGUUUCUUUUUGUGUUUGAAAGUUGGUGUAGUUUUGGGCCAUUCGGGCCUCUAGGGUUUUUAUUAAUAUUGGGCAUUUGGGCUUGUAGUUUUUGGGUUUAAAUUGGCUGAAAAUGGCCUAUUACAGCUGCCCCUCUUUGCUCAUUGUCGUGUAACGAGAAUAGAGCAAAGACUUCAAAAUGGCCAAUUUUGACCGGUCUUGCCUAGUCUUGACUUCUUCGGUGCUUCUCUUCAAGUAGCUUCAUUUCAAUCUACUGUGUCUUGUCGCUUUGAUCCACUUCACAGCAUCUUCAGAGAGAUAUGACUUCAAUCUACUCUGCUGCAUGGGGAUGAGAUUUGUGGUUCUUUCGUCUGCUCUUCAAUCUAUUCCACUGUUGUCCAAGGAAGUAGAACUACUGGCUUCAAUGUACUCUACUGUAAUCUCAGAGAGGUAAAAUCUGCCAUCUUCGAUCUGCUCCACUAUUGCUUAGGGAGAUAAGAUCUGUAAUCUUCAAUCUAUUCCACUGUUGCCCAGGGAAGUAGAAUUUCUGGCUUCAAUGUACUCCAUUGUAACCAUAGAGAGGUAAAAUCUGCCAUAUUUGAUCUGCCCCGCAGUCGAUGCAGGAAGGCAAGAUCUGCUAUCUUUAGUCUGCUCCACUGUCAGUACAGAAAGGCAAGAUUGGCUUCUUCGAUCUGCUUCACCGUCAAUACAGGAAGGAAAGAUCUGCUAUCUUUAACCAACUCCACUGCAACCGAUGGAGGCAAGGUUUUGUUUUCGAUCUGCUUCGCUGUUAAUACAGGAAGGCAAGAUCUGCUAUCUUUAACCAGCUCCACUGCAACCGAUGGAGGCAAGGUUUUGUUUUCGAUCUGCUUCGCUGUUAAUACAGGAAGACAAGAUCUGCUAUCUUUAACCAGCUCCACUACAACCGAGAGAGGCAAGGUUUGUGUUUUCGACCUGCUUCGCUGUCAAUGCAGGAAGGCAAGAUCUAUUAUCUUCAACCAGCUCCACUACAAACGAGGGAGGCAAGGCUUGUGUCUUCAAUCUACUUCGCUGUCAAUGCAGGAAUGCAAGAUCUGUUGUCUUCAACCAGCUCCACUACAACCGAUGGAGGCAAGGUUUUGUUUUCGAUCUGCUUCGCUGUUAAUGCAGGAAGGUAAGAUCUGCUAUCUUUGACCAACUCCACUGCAACCGAUGGAGGCAAGGUUUUGUUUUCGAUCUGCUUCGCUGUUAAUGCUGGAAGGCAAGAUCUGCUAUCUUUAACCAGCUCCACUGCAACCGAUGGAGGCAAUGUUUUGUUUUCGAUCUGCUUCGCUGUUAAUGCAGGAAGGCAAGAUCUGCUAUCUUUGACCAGCUCCACUGCAACUGAUGGAGGCAAGGUUUUGUUUCUUUGAUCUGUUCUCUGGGGAACAUGACCUGUAGAAUCCAUUUUAUGGACCUAUUUAUGCUUAGUGUUUAGGAUGACAUGAUCAGAAAAAAUCAAAUGCUCCUAACUAGAUGUGUAUGAAUGAUAUUUGCAUGAAUGUAGAAUGUCAUGAGAAUGAUCCCUUUUUAAUGUUUGGGUUGUCGUUCCUCGUUGUUCAUCAAGGUUCUAUCACUGAUGUUUUCUCGUUUAGCUAGUGUCUUUGACAGAAGAUUCAAAGGAAUAGUAUCAAUUUAGACUAUCAUUUCUCAAAUGUUUUCAACUCUCAGGUUUGGUCAGUUCUAAACAAUAGUCCUGUUUCAGGUCCUCGUAUUAUUUAGAAACUUUCAGAGUAAUAUGCAGAACUCCUUCUGCAUGAGUGUUGUCAGUCCAUUAAUCGUUAUUUCAAUGAAAAAUGCUUGAAAAAGAUUAUCAAAAUGGACAAAAUGAAAUUUUGUGGAGAGCAAAGCUCUAAACAAACAAAUCAAUCAAGACAACAAAUUUUGCUGAGAUACGAGAUGUAUAAGAUGAAAAAGAUUAUCACAGGAUAAGAUGGAAAUUUGUUGAGAGCAAAGCUCUAAAUGAACAAAUUAAUCAAGAUAGCAAAUUUUGCUAGAAUGCAAAAUGAGAAUAAAUUAAUCAAGAUGGCGUAUUUUGUCAAAAAUAUAAAAAUGAAUAAAAUGGAAAUAGGUGCCCUAGAUAUCAUAGCACGAGCUUCUCUGCCCCAAACUUCUUGAGGACCCUUUUGAACUUGAUAUGUGUCUUGAAGUCUUAGAAACUUUGUUGAUGCCCCAAGAUGUAGCAUCUCUCCUUCUUAUUAAUUCAGAGAGGACAAGACUACCACAUGCCCCAACUUUGAUCAAAAUUUGAACUGCCCAUUCCUGGGUUUUCAAUUCAAAACCCUUUGGUCCUAAGGUGCCCUUUGCGGGUUUUCACCUUGGCCUCUCCUUUUUCUCUUUUCUUUUUCGUUUUUCUUUUCCUUUUUUCUUUUUGUUUCUUUUUUUUUCAAGUGAAGUUUUUAUUGCUUGCAUCAAAAUUCUCAAGAUUAGGCAAGUUCUUGCCAUCUAUCUUGGUCAAUACCGACGUUCUCCUAGAUAAGGCCUUCCACAUAAGGUCCUUCUCGAUUUGGCAUCCACUUUCUUUUGAACUCCUUUUGUAUGGAAAGGAUCUUCUUCGAUAUCAGGUUUCCCUCAUGGAAUUCUCUGGGGCGAACCUUUUCUUUGGUAAGCUCGCAUCAUUUGUUUUUGGUGUAUUUGACCAUGACGGAUAACUUUCGACCUUUCUCUUUAAUCAAAUUUUAACUGAUCAUAUCGGGCCUAGAUUCAUUCAGCUUCAUCCAACUUCAGCUCUGACAAGACUCGAAGGGAAAGAAUAUCGACUUCGAUGGGUAAAAUUGCCUCUAUUCCAUAUACCAAUGAGAAAUGAGUUGCCCCGGUAGAGGUUUUUUCUUUUAUUUUUGUUUUUGUUUUUUUGUUAUUUUUUUGUUUUUGUUGUUUUUGUUUUUUUUUUUGCCUCCACUGAAUCAUUCAUUUUGGAGCGACAUUGUGUUAAUCUUGAACAGACUGCAAACUUCUGAUAUCUUACUGUUGUUCAAAUUUAGUGCAUUAUCUGAUAUGAGCCCUUUGGCAUUCCAUACCGACAUGUGAUUUCUUUUUCAUGAAUUUUCUAUCUGUCCAUUUCGACACUGGCAUAUGAAGCAGCUUUCACACAUUUAGUGAAGUAAUCGAUGACCACAAAGAUGACUCGAUGACCACCAGAAGCUUUCGGUGCAAUCAAUUCGAUGACAUCUAUGCCCCUCAUAGAGCAAGGUCAUGGAAGAGUCAUAACAUGAAGAGAUGAAGAAAGCACUUAAGUCUUGUCUCCGUAAAUUUGACACUUGGUGUAACUGAUGCAAUCCCCUUCCGUGGUGGACCAGCAGUAACCAUAUCUCAUGAUUUUCUUGGCCAUUACAAAAUCAAUGCAUGUGCUCCUCAAACACCUUUUUUUUUUAGCCUCAACAGUGUCCAUGCGUCUUUGUAGCUCAGUCAUAUGUUGAUGUGAAAACAUGACGUCUCACUUUGUCUCUGCGGUGAUACAGGAUCUGAUCUUCAGCUCUUUCUCUUCUCUUAAGCUCACAAUUUUUACUGAUUCUUUGUAAAGCAAGAUCUGUUUCUCGACUUGUUCUACCAUCCUUAACAAUCAGGAGAUAAGCUACAGUCUUGGUCAUCUUCAAAGUCUUGAGGUUCCUCUAGAUACAUAUCUUGCUCAAAAGAAAGUUCUGAGUCAAUAGCAGUGUCGCUCAUAUCAUUGAUAUCAGGAGACCUAUUCUAGGGAACGAAAGAAGACUCAAAGAACUAAUGAAUCAAAGGCGAAUUAUUUGUGUGGUAUGAGUAUGAAUGAAAUGGAACGAACAAAAUAAUGUUUGCCAAAAUAAGACACAAAGAUGCAUUUCGUUGAAAUAAAAAAGUGGACAUGCUCCUUUUUCACAAAAGGAUUUUCUAUUGCUCCCAAGCUUAGAACAAUAAGAGCGUUCCAAAUAUUACUCUGAAAUGGUCCUAAAAAACUACAAGAAUCUCCUCUACAGUCCCGUUGUUCAAAACGCCUCUAGGGAUGUAGAAACAAAUUCUUGAUAGGUUUUUUUUUAGUUUCUUCCUCAAAGGUACAAACAUCUUUACCUUCCAAACUAUCGAUAUAUUCAAAGAAUUCCAAUUCUUUAUCAUCCAUCUGGCUCUGUACUAGAGUUCUGAACUCAAUGCACUUUUGGAUUUUAGGACAAUUAUUGUAUGUAUUGAAAUGUAAUGUUAAUGAAUGCAAUGAAAUGUAAUGCAGAUGCAUGAAUGCAAAAAGAGACGUUGAUUCUUGAUUCAAUUCUAUUAGAACAACUUUACUAGAAAACAAAUCUCUUUACAUAAAAUGGAUAUUUAUACGACCUUGCCCUCAUACUCUAGGUGAAGACAUCGAUCUUUUCCUCAUUCGGGUGCUAAGAUCAAAUCUCGUGAACUCUUCAAAAGGGAUGUCUCUUCUAUUUCCUUUUGCUUGAUCCAGGUCGCGACUCGUUGCUCACUCAUCCUCGGGAUGCUCGUUGGCUUCUCUUUAAGAAAGUUCAGCGACUCUCAAAUAAUUUUGUCAUCUUGAAUCCUUGGGCAACAGAGCAAUAGUCGUGUAGUCCUCCAUCAUCCUUCUCUUAUCACGUUUUCAUGGACCAUAUUCGGACAACCGUAUUAUUAUACACUUUAUCAAGAAACUCAUUUUCUUAUGACAAGCUCUCUAUUUAGAUAUCGAAUCAUGAAUUAACACCUCUUUUCUAUGAUGACAAUGUAAUGCAAUCAUAACAAAGAAGAAACAGGUUAGUACAAAGAAAAAGCAAGCAAGAAUAAACAGAACAUAUAUUCGGAUAACCACUAAGGGCUUGAAGAGGCUCUACCUAAGGUGGGCUCCUAAGGUCUUCUAUAUGCGGUUUGGUUCUAAAGCAAAGGUACCCGAACCAGCAGAUUCUUCGAUCCUCACCCAUUAUAGGCUCAUACGGACCGAGUUCGGUUCAGGGGAAUACAUUUCCCUAUGGCCAUGCGGAGAUGAAAAUCUCACGAAGACAUAAGUACAGAUGUAUCCCGAAAGUGAUCCACUAUCCCAUGCGGAGGUGAAAACCUCACGAAGGCAUAGUUUCUCACUCCCACUUAAGAGGGUGUGACCAACAGUCAUGCAAAUGCAAUGUGUAAAAAUGUAAAAUAUCAGACAUGAUAAAAGCUCAAACUCAACAACAGAUGAAAUAUAAUGAAAGGAUCAUAUAUUAAAAAUCAAAAUUUCAAUUUUUGACAAAAAAGAUAAAAAUUAAUCAAUUUAAGGCUUGACUCUUUUAUGCGUCCCCAACGGAGUCGCCAAGCUGUUGACACCAUUUUUUGUUAAAACGGGGUCGACUUGGAUUUUGAAAAUAAAAACGAAAACGGGAGUUGCCACCAAUCUUUUUUUUGACGAGGUGUGAUCGGGUCACCUCAUCAUUUUAAUAAAAUUUAAAUUUACUAAAACGAUAAUUUUUCGUCUACAAAAUCCAGAAAAUAAGUUCGGGAGUCGGUUACACACGAGGAAGGAUUAGCACCCUCGAUAUGCCCAAAAUUGGUACCUAGUUGAUUAAUUAGUGUCUUAAUGUCGAAGAUUGAAAACUUUAAAGAGUUUUAAAAAUACGAUCCUUAAAAGAAACUCUGAUAACAUGAAUUGAAAUAUAAAAUCCUCUUGUUCCAAAGGAAUAUCACAUCCAGCACGUUAGGACACGAUACUUUAAACCAUCGAAACCAAGAUCACCUUAUAGUUUAACGAAACCAUACUUUGAAGUUUUAAGAGAAUAUUUGGCUAUUUAGUCGAACGAGAAAUCGAAACCCAGCACGUUAGGGCACGUUUUCUCGAAUUUCCAAACGCGAAAUAUUACCUCAUUUAGAAAAUCUUUUCUUUUGAUGUAUGGUAAAAUAUGUAUAGCAAAACAAUAAUGAAUAUGAUGGCGUAAAAAUAAUACGAGUAAUAGCAAUGAAAAUAAGAUAAUAAAAGGGACCAAUCAAUAACAUACAAAGUGGCAAGUACAUAGGCAAAUAAAAGUUGAAUUCUUCUUUCUAAAUAAUAAUGAAAGUGUAAAUAAAUAAAUAAAUAACGAAUAAAUGUAAAAAAACGUAUAUACAUGAAUGUACACAAAAUUAUGAAAAUAUGAAAAAUCUAUGUACGUAUACAUAUUGUGAGAUUAUUAAAUAUAAAAAUAUAUGUAAGUAUGUAUAUACAUGUAUAGGUAUAUGAAUUAAAAUAUGUAAAUAUAUAAGUAUAUAUAUGCGUGUAGAAAACAUGAAAUAUAAAAAAUAUAUAUUUAAAAUAAAUAAAGAAUAUGUACAUAUAUAUAAAAAUUAUAAGAUAUAGUAAGAAAUGUAUAUGAGUAUGUAUAUAUAUAAAUUAUAGAAAAAAUAUGUACGUGUAUGUGUAUUUAAAAAAACAUGUAUGUAUAUAUAAUGACUUAAAUCAAGUAAUACAAAUAAUAAGAAAAAUAUUAGGUAAAUAAAAUAUACAUAUAUAUAUACAUAUAUAUAACUUAAAAUAAAUAUUAAAGGAACUCCCCUUUUACUCUUUUUUUUAAAAAAUAAAUUAAAUGAACUAAAGGAUGAAAAUAAAAUCAAACCAAAAUCUGGGGUUCCAAACUGUAAAUAAAUAAAAAGAUCCCCAGGGACCAAAAUAGGAUGCGUUGGGAAGAAAGAAGGACUGACUGCGCAAUAUCCCCGUCCCUUAUGCGCUUCGUUUUGACAUGGGCCAGAACGAAAUAAGAAACAAAUUAUGCAGAUAAAUUAAAAAGGAAAGAAAGUAAGAAAAACGGACUGGAUUAAAAGAACAAAAAAUGAAGAGGGACUAUCUACACAAAUAACCCCAAAGAACCAAACAUGCAGAUUCCCCCCCAAAAACGACGUCGUUUUGCGUCUAGGGAGGGUUCCAACACACUGCCGUUUCAGCUCUCCAUUUAAACCCUCCUUUUAUUUUUUUUGUUCAUUUAUUCCCCCUAUUAAGAAAAAUCUACAGAAACCUCUCAAAGCCUCCCCAUGCCUUCCGACGGUUGGGUUUCACACCGCCGUUUAUCCGUCCAUCGUACCGCCACUAUACCGGCGGCCAACGAAGCGACAAAGGGGCUUUUAGAGCCUAGCCUUCGGGCGAUUUGAAAAGCCGGGUCUUUGAACACCCACGAGCACCGAGACUGAGGCUCGUAGCUCCCCCCUUUCAGAUCCGGGCCAACGACGGAGAACCACACACCGACGGCGCAGUCGUGAGGUAUCUCCGGUAAGCCCCCUUUCUUUACUUUGUUUUCGUUAAAAACUAUGUAUAUAUAAAAUAGAGUAAAACAAAAUAAAAUAACAGGUCUGGAGAAGAAAAAAAACUUAGUUUUCUUUUUAUUUCUAAACUUUGUUAAAUUGCCAGAAGAAGACAUUACAAUGCUUUUGUUCAGCCUAUAUAGCAAACUUUUACAACCCCUAAACUUCUAUUUUUGUCGUUUUAUGCUUUGGAUCCUUGUACUGUUGCGUGUGGCUUCGUUUUGCAGGUGUCAGACGCGUGGACAUGCGAAGCCAGCGAUUGGCCAGUAGCGGCGGUGGGCGUGCGUAGGAGGUGGCAGCAACAACAUGCGGCUGGGGUUUCUUUUUGUGUUUGAAAGUUGGUGUAGUUUUGGGCCAUUCGGGCCUCUAGGGUUUUUAUUAAUAUUGGGCAUUUGGGCUUGUAGUUUUUGGGUUUAAAUUGGCUGAAAAUGGGCUGCUUUUGUUUUUAUUAUUUGGGUCUAUUUUGCUGGUAUGGGCCCGGGCA